RNAcentral lists this long non-coding RNA (625 nucleotides) under Gossypium raimondii (Peruvian cotton). RNAcentral describes it as "long non-coding RNA (GRAI_LNC002700)". The record is from RNAcentral. Lineage: Eukaryota; Viridiplantae; Streptophyta; Magnoliopsida; Malvales; Malvaceae.
GGGUUUCUACGACGGUGCGAAUGAUGAAAAAGGUAAAAAAAAUUGUUUGUCUCCCUAUUUUAUGUUUGCUUCAAAAAUAAAAAAGAACUACCUUUUCUUAACUUUGGUUUUUUUUUUUUUGUAUUCAAUUUCUUCUCUGUUUGAAAAUUACAAGAGUUUGGCUUUUAUAGCCAUUUUAAUUCCAAUAUCUUUUUUCUUUUUUUUUCUACUCUAUUUUCUGUCCAUCUUCUAUUUCUCUGCCUCUGUUAUUGUUUUCUCUUUUUUCUAGGUACCCGUGGCGAUGGUAGCAAAGGGGCGUGCCUACUGACGCGGCAAGAGCGAUAGCUACGCUGAAGACUUAAGGCUUUCUUUCUUCUAUUUAGGUUUAGGAUUGUGGGCUAUUGGGCUUUGGGUUAUUAGGUGUUAGGGUUUAGGUAAUUUGGGCUUUUGUAUUUGGGCCAAUCUGUUUUUGUGAGUGGACUUUGAUAUUAAUAGACUUUUUAUUUUUUAUUUUUUUUUGGUUUUUGUUUUGUCUUGGUCGGACAAAUUUGGGCCACUACAGCUGCCCUUCUUUGCUCAUUGUCUUGUAAUGGCAAGGGAGCAAAGACUUCAAAAAAGGACCAAUUCUGUCCAGUCUCUUUGAAUC